UACGGAGGGGGCUAGCGUUGUUCGGAAUUACUGGGCGUAAAGCGCACGUAGGCGGCUUUGUAAGUUAGAGGUGAAAGCCCAGGGCUCAACCCUGGAAUUGCCUUUAAGACUGCAUCGCUUGAACAUCGGAGAGGUAAGUGGAAUUCCGAGUGUAGAGGUGAAAAUUCGUAGAUAUUCGGAAGAACACCAGUGGCGAAGGCGACUUACUGGACGAUUGUUGACGCUGAGGUGCGAAAGCGUGGGGAGCAAACAGG
Molecule: ribosomal RNA, 254 nt
Filed under: uncultured bacterium
Lineage: Bacteria
Description: partial 16S ribosomal RNA
Rfam family: Bacterial small subunit ribosomal RNA
Source: RNAcentral